Long non-coding RNA from Dendrobium catenatum, 861 nucleotides. RefSeq lists it as uncharacterized. The transcript has 6 exons. NCBI's taxonomy places the organism in Eukaryota, Viridiplantae, Streptophyta, Magnoliopsida, Asparagales, Orchidaceae. The record is from RefSeq and is a predicted model, not a curated record.
CUGCCACGCUUUUUUUUUUCUUCGGCGGAUGAUCUAGCCCUAAGCGUGUAGGGUGAGAAUGGAACGUUCCCAAAUUGACAGCAAUCAAACAUUUUCUUUGGUGACAUCUGAAUCACUCUCGGAUCAUGGAUUCUAUAGCCUUCAGUUCAUGUCCCUGAUCUCAGAGUCUUGGGAGACCAUUGAAUGUUACAGAAAUCCGUUCAUUCGCCAAAAAGAUUUAUGGAAAGGAGCUCUACUGAGAUGCAUGGAGCUAAUCCCUUAGGGCUGAGAAAAAAGCGAAGUUAGAAAAAGAAAGAGCUAGCCAAGACAAUUGUGAAAAAUAAACAAAAUGCUGAGAAGUUGAUAGAGAUCCAAAAAGAGAAGCUAACUAUCUGAAGAACCAAGUCAAUGUCUUUUGGACUGUGAGGAAUACAAGAAAGAUGAAUCUAGACAUUGAAAAUCUUGAGGAUGAUCAAAAUGAAAGUGAAGAGAGUUUGUUAGUCCCAGAUGGGCGUCUCUCAGGAAAUGAGGUGGAAGCAGAAUAACUCUAACUGCAACCUCAGCUGCUUCUUGUGCAGUAUGAGUUCCCAUUCCUCCAGUCAUGGCCGUCUUUGUGAAUCCCGGACAGAAACAAUUAAUGCUCAAGUUUAGGCCUUUCUGCUGCUUAGAGAGCAAUCUGGAGUAAGCAUUUACUGCGUGCUUGGAGACAGAGUAAUCAGUCCAAAUCAUAGGCCAUCCAGCUUCCUUCCAGAACUCAACAGUGAGGCCUCUCUUGGCUAAGCAAAGAACCGCUUCUAUCCCUUUGAUUUCAUUCCUGCAAGUGAGAACCACCAUUAAUCCGAGCUCUGCAAGCUUCUCCACAAUAGCAAAACCUAUCCCUUU